UUACAUAAGAAGAAAUUCCUGAGGAGGAAAAAUGAAAAUCCCUCCCAGCUGACGCUGUGAGGAUUACGAACAUGGGAAAUUCCAUAGCCGGAAGGUCGUCUGCCAACCAUUCGACUCAGAGAGUACAUGUUGCCAGGACACCGACGGAGUGUCAACGUGCGUUCAUCACAUAGACAACACACUUGCAAACACUCAUGCUGUUUUCCGAGGAAAGCAUGUCAUCGAUUUUGGAGAAACU
Molecule: long non-coding RNA, 238 nt
Organism: Ornithodoros turicata
Lineage: Eukaryota; Metazoa; Arthropoda; Arachnida; Ixodida; Argasidae
Exons: 3
Source: RefSeq, a predicted model, not a curated record